This 148-nucleotide non-coding RNA is filed under the name Gorilla gorilla gorilla (western lowland gorilla). Lineage: Eukaryota; Metazoa; Chordata; Mammalia; Primates; Hominidae. The record is from Rfam by way of RNAcentral.
GCCGGGCGUGGUGGCGGGCGCCUAUAAUCCCAGCUACUUGGGAGGUUGAGACAGGAGAAUCGCUUGAACCCGGGAGACCGAGGUUGCAGCGAGCCGAGAUCGCGUCACUGCACUCCAGCCCGGGUGACAGAGCGAGACUCUGCCUCAA